Long non-coding RNA from Oreochromis niloticus (Nile tilapia), 483 nucleotides. RefSeq lists it as uncharacterized. The transcript has 2 exons. The record is from RefSeq and is a predicted model, not a curated record. Lineage: Eukaryota; Metazoa; Chordata; Actinopteri; Cichliformes; Cichlidae.
CAGCAGUGAUCACAAUGUCUCCUUUCAUGCACACGUUUGGCUUUCUCUUCCUCUGCUUUCCAACUCUGGUCACCAGCAUCAUAUUUCAUCAAAGUCUUCCUCAGAUUGUGAACGUGAGCUCUAAGGUCCGCAUCACAUGCAGCCACGAUGACGGGUCCCGCCUUGUGAUGCUCUGGUACCAGCAAAGGACAGGCAGCCAGUCUAUGACCCUCAUUGGGUUUAGAUAUGGCACAGGAGACCCGACCUACGAGGGUCAAUAUAAAGAAGAAUUUAAGCUGGAAAGAGAAGACAACUUAAAAGGAGCUCUGGUUAUUCCCACAGCAAACCUGUCACACGCUUGUAUAGGAAUUUCUUUUACUUAUGUAUUAAUCACAUUAUUUUAUUGUAUAAUGCCUUGGUGCCACUGGAUUUUAACAUGUCUCACACUCAUACAGUAAGACAAACGGUGGGGGUCUAGUAAGGAAGUUGGGGGGAAGCAGACAA